This 460-nucleotide ribosomal RNA is filed under the name uncultured bacterium. RNAcentral's name for it is "partial 16S ribosomal RNA". It matches the Rfam family "Bacterial small subunit ribosomal RNA", at positions 338 to 795 of the family's 1533-position model. The record is from RNAcentral.
CCUACGGGAGGCAGCAGUGAGGAAUAUUGGUCAAUGGCCGGAAGGCUGAACCAGCCAUGCCGCGUGAAGGUCAGUGCCCUAUGGGCGUUAAACUUCUUUUGUGCGGGAGCAAUAAUGGUCACGUGUGGCCAGACGAGAGUACCGUACGAAUAAGCAUCGGCUAACUCCGUGCCAGCAGCCGCGGUAAUACGGGGGGUGCAAGCGUUAUCCGGAUUUUAUGGGUUUAAAGGGAGCGUAGGCGGUGAGGUAAGGCAGCGGUGAAAUGCCCCCGCUCAACGGGGUGAAGUGCCAUUGAUACUGCCUGGCUGGAAGGCGGAUGCGGUAGGAGGAAUGUGUGGUGUAGCGGUGAAAUGCAUAGAUAUCACACAGAACACCGAUUGCGAAGGCAUCUCACGAAUCCGCGAUUGACGCUGAUGCACGAAAGCGUGGGUAUCAAACAGGAUUAGAUACCCCUGUAGUC